GCUGAGCAUGCUAAUGUGCACCUGUAGUCCCAGCUAUGCAGGAGGCUAAGAUGGGAGGAUUCCUUGAGCCCAGGAGUUCUGGGAUGUAGUCCGCUAUGCCAUUGAUGAGGUGUCCAUACUAAGUUCAGCAUCAAUAUGGUGACUUCCAGGCAGCAAGGGACUACCAAGUUGCCUAAGGAGGGGUAACCCAGCCCAGUUGGAAAAGAACAGAUCAAAACACCUGUGCUGAUUAGUAGAGGGAUCUCACCUGUGAAUAGCCACUGUACUCCAGCCUGGGCACAUAGAGACUUCAUCUCUU
This 298-nucleotide signal recognition particle RNA is filed under the name Microcebus murinus (gray mouse lemur). RNAcentral's name for it is "Metazoan signal recognition particle RNA (ENSMICG00000030879.2)". It matches the Rfam family "Metazoan signal recognition particle RNA". Rfam says of the family: The signal recognition particle (SRP) is a universally conserved ribonucleoprotein. It is involved in the co-translational targeting of proteins to membranes. The eukaryotic SRP consists of a 300-nucleotide 7S RNA and six proteins: SRPs 72, 68, 54, 19, 14, and 9. The record is from Rfam by way of RNAcentral. Lineage: Eukaryota; Metazoa; Chordata; Mammalia; Primates; Cheirogaleidae.